RNAcentral lists this ribosomal RNA (460 nucleotides) under uncultured bacterium. RNAcentral's name for it is "partial 16S ribosomal RNA". It matches the Rfam family "Bacterial small subunit ribosomal RNA", at positions 338 to 795 of the family's 1533-position model. The record is from RNAcentral.
CCUACGGGAGGCAGCAGUGAGGAAUAUUGGUCAAUGGGCGGAAGCCUGAACCAGCCAAGUCGCGUGAGGGAAUAAGGCCCUACGGGUCGUAAACCUCUUUUGCCGGGGAGCAAGGGCGGGGACGUGUCCCGGCCCGGAGAGUACCCUGAGACAAAGCAUCGGCUAACUCCGUCCCAGCAGCCGCGGUAAUAAGGGGGAUUCGAGCGUUAUCCGGAUUUGUUGGGUUUAAGGGGUUCGUGAGCGGGCUUUCAAGUCAGCGGUAAAAAUUCGGGGCUCAACCCCGUCCGGCCGUUGAAACUGGGGGCCUUGAGUGGGCGAGAAGAAGGCGGAAUGCGUGGUGUAGCGGUGAAAUGCAUAGAUAUCACGCAGAACCCCGAUUGCGAAGGCAGCCUUCCGGCGCCCUACUGACGCUGAGGCACGAAAGUGCGGGGAUCGAACAGGAUUAGAUACCCCGGUAGUC